This 691-nucleotide ribosomal RNA is filed under the name Lutimonas sp. Its description in RNAcentral is "bacterial SSU rRNA". It matches the Rfam family "Bacterial small subunit ribosomal RNA", at positions 64 to 755 of the family's 1533-position model. Lineage: Bacteria; Pseudomonadati; Bacteroidota; Flavobacteriia; Flavobacteriales; Flavobacteriaceae. The record is from RNAcentral.
CAGGGUUUAGUUUACUAGAUUGCUGACGACCGGCGCACGGGUGAGUAACGCGUAUACAAUUUGCCUUUUACUGGAGGAUAGCCCAGAGAAAUUUGGAUUAAUACUCCAUAGUAUUAUUUGGUCACCUGAUCGAGUAAUUAAAGUUCCGGCGGUAAAAGAUGAGUAUGCGUCCUAUUAGCUAGAUGGUAAGGUAACGGCUUACCAUGGCGACGAUAGGUAGGGGUCCUGAGAGGGAGAUCCCCCACACUGGUACUGAGACACGGACCAGACUCCUACGGGAGGCAGCAGUGAGGAAUAUUGGGCAAUGGAGGCAACUCUGACCCAGCCAUGCCGCGUGCAGGAAGACUGCCCUAUGGGUUGUAAACUGCUUUUAUACAGGAAGAAACUUAUCCACGUGUGGAUAACUGACGGUACUGUAAGAAUAAGGACCGGCUAACUCCGUGCCAGCAGCCGCGGUAAUACGGAGGGUCCAAGCGUUAUCCGGAAUCAUUGGGUUUAAAGGGUCCGUAGGCGGGCAAUUAAGUCAGAGGUGAAAUCCCACAGCUCAACUGUGGAACUGCCUUUGAUACUGGUUGUCUUGAGUUAUAGUGAAGUAGAUAGAAUAUGUAGUGUAGCGGUGAAAUGCAUAGAUAUUACAUAGAAUACCGAUUGCGAAGGCAGUCUACUAACUGUAUACUGACGCUAAUGGACG